UGGGGAAUAUUGCACAAUGGGCGAAAGCCUGAUGCAGCAAUGCCGCGUGUGUGAAGAAGGCUCUAGGGUUGUAAAGCACUUUCAAUAAGGAAGAAAAGCAUAUGGUUAAUAACCAUAUGUAUUGACGUAACUUAUACAAGAAGCACCGGCUAAUUCCGUGCCAGCAGCCGCGGUAAUACGGAAGGUGCAAGCGUUAAUCGGAAUUACUGGGCGUAAAGCGCGCGUAGGCUGUUAUUUAAGUCGGAUGUGAAAUCCUCGGGCUCAACCUGGGAACUGCAUCCGAAACUGAAUAACUAGAGUAUGGGAGAGGUAAGUAGAAUUUCCGGUGUAGCGGUGAAAUGCGUAGAUAUCGGAAGGAAUACCAGUGGCGAAGGCGGCUUACUGGACCAAUACUGACGCUGAGGUGCGAAAGCGUGGGGAGCGAACAGG
RNAcentral lists this ribosomal RNA (429 nucleotides) under uncultured bacterium. RNAcentral's name for it is "bacterial SSU rRNA". It matches the Rfam family "Bacterial small subunit ribosomal RNA", at positions 355 to 776 of the family's 1533-position model. The record is from RNAcentral.